This 73-nucleotide transfer RNA is filed under the name Gemmatimonadota bacterium. Its description in RNAcentral is "tRNA-Asn". It matches the Rfam family "tRNA". Rfam says of the family: Transfer RNA (tRNA) molecules are approximately 80 nucleotides in length. Their secondary structure includes four short double-helical elements and three loops (D, anti-codon, and T loops). The record is from RNAcentral. RNAcentral also lists the same sequence under 2 other names. Lineage: Bacteria; Pseudomonadati; Gemmatimonadota.
UGGGGUGUAGCUCAACCGGCAGAGCGCCUGGCUGUUAACCAGGAGGUUGGAGGUUCGAACCCUCCCGCCCCAG